This 240-nucleotide ribosomal RNA is filed under the name uncultured Lactobacillus sp. RNAcentral's name for it is "partial 16S ribosomal RNA". It matches the Rfam family "Bacterial small subunit ribosomal RNA", at positions 122 to 354 of the family's 1533-position model. Lineage: Bacteria; Bacillati; Bacillota; Bacilli; Lactobacillales; Lactobacillaceae. The record is from RNAcentral.
UAACCUGCCCAAGAGAUCGGGAUAACACCUGGAAACAGAUGCUAAUACCGGAUAACAACAGAUGAUGCCUAUCAACUGUUUAAAAGAUGGUUCUGCUAUCACUCUUGGAUGGACCUGCGGUGCAUUAGCUAGUUGGUAGGGUAACGGCCUACCAAGGCGAUGAUGCAUAGCCGAGUUGAGAGACUGAUCGGCCACAUUGGGACUGAGACACGGCCCAAACACCUACGGGAGGCAGCAGAG